UUAUUGGGUUUUUGUUUGGAGAGGGAGCCUGAGAGACGGCUACCAUAUCCAAGGAUAGCAGCAGGCGCGUAAAUUACCCACUGUGGACUCCACGAGGUAGUGACGAGAAAUAUCGAUGCGAAGCGUGUAUGCGUUUUGCUAUCGGAAUGAGAGCAAUGUAAAACCCUCAUCGAGGAUCAACUGGAGGGCAAGUCUGGUGCCAGCAGCCGCGGUAAUUCCAGCUCCAGAAGCAUAUGCUAAAGUUGUUGCAGUUAAAAAGCUCGUAGUUGAAUUUCUGGCAUGGGCGACCGGUGCUUUCCCUGAAUGGGGAUUGAUUGUCUGUGUUGCCUUGGCCAUCUUUUUCUUUUUUUUAUUGGUGAGAAAUCUUUCACUGUAAUCAAAGCAGAGUGUUCCAAGCAGGUCGUAUGACCGGUAUGUUUAUUAUGGGAUGAUAAGAUAGGACUUGGGUGCUAUUUUGUUGGUUUGCACGCCUGAGUAAUGGUUAAUAGGAACAGUUGGGGGUAUUCGUAUUUAGGAGCUAGAGGUGAAAUUCUUGGAUUUCCGAAAGACGAACUAGAGCGAAGGCAUUUACCAAGCAUGUUUCAUAAUCAAGAACGAGC
Molecule: ribosomal RNA, 599 nt
Filed under: Aurantiochytrium sp.
Lineage: Eukaryota; Bigyra; Thraustochytrida; Thraustochytriidae
Description: SSU rRNA
Rfam family: Eukaryotic small subunit ribosomal RNA
Source: RNAcentral